AGCAGCCGCGGUAAUUCCAUUUCCAAUAGCGUAUAUUAAAGUUGUUGCAGUUAAAAAGCUCGUAGUUGAAUUUCGAGAUCAAUUUGUGGGUCGUGCCUCGGUACGUACUGGCAUUAUCGAUUUCUCCCUUCUGAAGAACCGCGAUGUCAUUAAUUUGGUGUCGUGGGGAAUCAGGACUGUUACUUUGAAAAAAUUAGAGUGUUUAAAGCAGGCUUACGCUUGAAUACAUUAGCAUGGAAUAAUGAAAUAGGACGUUUGAUUCUAUUUUGUUGGUUUCUAGGAUUGACGUAAUGAUUAAUAGGGAUAGUCGGGGGCAUUAGUAUUCAAUUGUCAGAGGUGAAAUUCUUGGAUUUAUUGAAGACUAACUACUGCGAAAGCAUUUGCCAAGGAUGUUUUCAUUAAUCAAGAACGAAAGUUAGGUGAUCGAAGACGAUCAGAUACCGUCGUAGUCUUAACCAUAAACUAUGCCGAC
Molecule: ribosomal RNA, 472 nt
Filed under: uncultured Glomus
Lineage: Eukaryota; Fungi; Glomeromycota; Glomeromycetes; Glomerales; Glomeraceae
Description: SSU rRNA
Rfam family: Eukaryotic small subunit ribosomal RNA
Source: RNAcentral